This 627-nucleotide ribosomal RNA is filed under the name uncultured Ascomycota. RNAcentral's name for it is "eukaryotic LSU rRNA". The stretch from base 247 to 400 matches the Rfam family "5.8S ribosomal RNA". Lineage: Eukaryota; Fungi; Ascomycota. The record is from RNAcentral.
CUUGGUCAUUUAGAGGAAGUAAAAGUCGUAACAAGGUCUCCGUAGGUGAACCUGCGGAGGGAUCAUUACACAAUAAACAUAUGAAGGCUGCACCGCCAACAGGCGGCAAGGCUGGAGUAUUUUAUUACCCUUGUCUUUUGCGCACUUGUUGUUUCCUGGGCGGGUUCGCCCGCCUCCAGGACCACAUGAUAAACCUUUUUUAUGCAGUUGCAAUCAGCGUCAGUACAACAAAUGUAAAUCAUUUACAACUCUCAACAACGGAUCUCUUGGUUCUGGCAUCGAUGAAGAACGCAGCGAAAUGCGAUACGUAGUGUGAAUUGCAGAAUUCAGUGAAUCAUCGAAUCUUUGAACGCACAUUGCGCCCUUUGGUAUUCCAAAGGGCAUGCCUGUUCGAGCGUCAUUUGUACCCUCAAGCUUUGCUUGGUGUUGGGCGUUUUUUGUCUUUGGUUUUGUCCAAAGACUCGCCUUAAAACGAUUGGCAGCCGGCCUACUGGUUUCGCAGCGCAGCACAUUUUUGCGCUUGCAAUCAGCAAAAGAGGACGGCACUCCAUCAAGACUCUACAUCACUUUUGACCUCGGAUCAGGUAGGGAUACCCGCUGAACUUAAGCAUAUCAAUAAGCGGAGGA